GACGAACGCUGGCGGCGUGCUUAACACAUGCAAGUCGAACGGAAAGGCCCUGCUUUUGUGGGGUGCUCGAGUGGCGAACGGGUGAGUAACACGUGAGUAACCUGCCCUUGACUUUGGGAUAACUUCAGGAAACUGGGGCUAAUACCGGAUAGGAGCUCCUGCUGCAUGGUGGGGGUUGGAAAGUUUCGGCGGUUGGGGAUGGACUCGCGGCUUAUCAGCUUGUUGGUGGGGUAGUGGCUUACCAAGGCUUUGACGGGUAGCCGGCCUGAGAGGGUGACCGGCCACAUUGGGACUGCGAUACGGCCCAGACUCCUACGGGAGGCAGCAGUGGGGAAUAUUGCACAAUGGGCGGACGCCUGCUGCAGCAACGCCGCGUGCGGGAUGACGGCCUUCGGGUUGUAAACCACUUUCGCCUGUGACGAAGCGUGAGUGACGGUAAUGGGUAAAGAAGCACCGGCUAACUACGUG
This 468-nucleotide ribosomal RNA is filed under the name uncultured bacterium. RNAcentral describes it as "partial 16S ribosomal RNA". It matches the Rfam family "Bacterial small subunit ribosomal RNA", at positions 28 to 507 of the family's 1533-position model. The record is from RNAcentral.